UUUAAGCGCAGCCAUGAGUUUCCGUGUUCAAUUAUAAUCGUCUAUCUUAUUUGAUUUUUUUAUGAUUAGUUUUUUUAUUGUUAUUAGAUGAUAAAAUAUGAAAAGUACUUUAUGCAUGACUUAUGUUUUCAAAAAAAAUUCAAAUAAGACGGAUUAUUAAAGUUGGACACGGAACCUCAUGGUUGUGUUUAAA
This is a non-coding RNA of Oryza punctata, 193 nucleotides long. The record is from Rfam. Lineage: Eukaryota; Viridiplantae; Streptophyta; Magnoliopsida; Poales; Poaceae.